This 494-nucleotide ribosomal RNA is filed under the name uncultured bacterium. RNAcentral's name for it is "partial 16S ribosomal RNA". It matches the Rfam family "Bacterial small subunit ribosomal RNA", at positions 28 to 507 of the family's 1533-position model. The record is from RNAcentral.
GACGAACGCUGGCGGCGUGCUUAACACAUGCAAGUCGAACGGAAAGGCCUGCUUUCCCUUGUGGAUUGCGGGUACUCGAGUGGCGAACGGGUGAGUAACACGUGAGUGAUCUGCCCCCAACUUGGGUAUAAGCCUGGGAAACUGGGUCUAAUUCCCGAUAGGACUGCAGGGUGGUGCCUGUGGUGGAAAACGAUUUUCUAGUGGUUGGGGAUGAGCUCGCGGCCUAUCAGCUUGUUGGUGGGGUAAUGGCCUACCAAGGCGGGGACGGGUAGCCGGCCUGAGAGGGUGGACGGCCACAUUGGGACUGAGAUACGGCCCAGACUCCUACGGGAGGCAGCAGUGGGGAAUAGUGCACAAUGGGCGGAAGCCUGAUGCAGCGACGCCGCGUGGGGGAUGACGGCCUUCGGGUGGUAAACUCCUUUCGACCGCGAGGAAGCCACCUGGUUGGAAGGGUGGUGACGGUAGUGGUAGAAGAAGCACCGGCUAACUACGUG